Nicotiana tabacum (common tobacco) is the source of this 523-nucleotide non-coding RNA. The record is from RefSeq and is a predicted model, not a curated record. Lineage: Eukaryota; Viridiplantae; Streptophyta; Magnoliopsida; Solanales; Solanaceae.
CCAUCUUGUCUAAGUUGUCACCUCAACAGGCAAUUCAUUAUACACAUAUUCUUCUUUGUUCUUGGCCUUUGUUAGCUCCAAGUUUCUGCACUUCUUUACAUUUAUCUACGGCACAAUGCAGAUAUUCGUGAAAACGCUCACAGGCACGACGAUAACCCUAGACGUAGAAACAUUCGACACCAUUGAUAAUUUGAAAGGCAAGAUCUAUGAAAAAAUAGGGAUCAAAAGAGAUCAUCAGAGGCUGAUAUUUGGUGGCAAGCAACUGGAGAAUGGCACUGUGGAGGAUUACUCCAUAAGAAAAGAGUCUACUCUUCAUCUUGUUAUUCGAUUGCUUGGUGCCAUGCAACCAAAUCUUGAAUUUUCUCGUAAAAAAUACUUUGAUUUUGUACUUUUUGUUUAAGCAAUAUUAGCCAGAAUCAGAAAUGAGAAGUGAUAAGCAGAGAGAAUAAAUUCUUGGAUAUAAAUAUUAUAAGUUACAUUCCUCUACUGAAUUUGAAUAAGAUUUGUUUGAUCAUUGUGUUCA